AUUGAACGCUGGCGGCAGGCCUAACACAUGCAAGUCGAGCGGAUGAAGGGAGCUUGCUCCUGGAUUCAGCGGCGGACGGGUGAGUAAUGCCUAGGAAUCUGCCUGGUAGUGGGGGGUAACGUCCGGAAACGGGCGCUAAUACCGCAUACGUCCUGAGGGAGAAAGUGGGGGAUCUUCGGACCUCACGCUAUCAGAUGAGCCUAGGUCGGAUUAGCUAGUUGGUGGGGUAAAGGCCUACCAAGGCGACGAUCCGUAACUGGUCUGAGAGGAUGAUCAGUCACACUGGAACUGAGACACGGUCCAGACUCCUACGGGAGGCAGCAGUGGGGAAUAUUGGGCAAUGGGCGAAAGCCUGAUCCAGCCAUGCCGCGUGUGUGAAGAAGGUCUUCGGAUUGUAAAGCACUUUAAGUUGGGAGGAAGGGCAGUAAGUUAAUACCUUGCUGUUUUGACGUUACCAACAGAAUAAGCACCGGCUAACUUCGUG
Molecule: ribosomal RNA, 484 nt
Filed under: uncultured bacterium
Lineage: Bacteria
Description: partial 16S ribosomal RNA
Rfam family: Bacterial small subunit ribosomal RNA
Source: RNAcentral